RNAcentral lists this ribosomal RNA (406 nucleotides) under uncultured bacterium. RNAcentral's name for it is "partial 16S ribosomal RNA". It matches the Rfam family "Bacterial small subunit ribosomal RNA", at positions 30 to 526 of the family's 1533-position model. The record is from RNAcentral.
AUUGAACGCUGGCGGCAGGCCUAACACAUGCAAGUCGAACGAGUGGCGGACGGGUGAGUAAUGUCUGGGAAACUGCCCGAUGGAGGGGGAUAACUACGGGAAACGAGAGCUAAUACCACAUACCAUCGGAUGUGCCCAGAUGGGCUUGGCUUGUGGGUGGGGUAAGGGCUCACCGAGGCGACGAUCCAUAGCUGGUCUGAGAGGAUGACCAGCCACACUGGAACUGAGACACGGUCCAGACUCCUACGGGAGGCAGCAGUGGGGAAUAUUGCACAAUGGGCGCAAGCCUGAUACAGCCAUGCCGCGUGUAUGAAGAAGGCCUUCGGGUUGUAAAGCACUUUCAGCGGGGAGGCGUUACCCGCAGAAGAAGCACCGGCUAACUCCGUGCCAGCAGCCGCGGUAAUUC